AACGAACGCUGGCGGCAGGCUUAACACAUGCAAGUCGAACGCCCCGCAAGGGGAGUGGCAGACGGGUGAGUAACGCGUGGGAACAUACCCUUUUCUACGGAAUAGCUCUGGGAAACUGGAAUUAAUACCGUAUACGCCCUACGGGGGAAAGAUUUAUCGGGGAAGGAUUGGCCCGCGUUGGAUUAGCUAGUUGGUGGGGUAAAGGCCUACCAAGGCGACGAUCCAUAGCUGGUCUGAGAGGAUGAUCAGCCACAUUGGGACUGAGACACGGCCCAAACCCCUACGGGAGGCAGCAGUGGGGAAUAUUGGACAAUGGGCGCAAGCCUGAUCCAGCCAUGCCGCGUGAGUGAUGAAGGCCUUAGGGUUGUAAAGCUCUUUCACCGAUGAAGAUAAUGACGGUAGUCGGAGAAGAAGCCCCGGCUAACUUCGUG
Molecule: ribosomal RNA, 431 nt
Filed under: uncultured bacterium
Lineage: Bacteria
Description: partial 16S ribosomal RNA
Rfam family: Bacterial small subunit ribosomal RNA
Source: RNAcentral